Molecule: small nucleolar RNA, 83 nt
Organism: Laticauda laticaudata (blue-ringed sea krait)
Lineage: Eukaryota; Metazoa; Chordata; Lepidosauria; Squamata; Elapidae
Source: Ensembl
UAGGUCUGUGAUGAUGACAUUCCACCAUAUUUCGAGUUUCAAGACCAUGAGACAACGUUUCAUGCACUACCAUCUGAGACCUG